GUUCUUAUAGUUGAAUAACAACGGUGGUUUUUCAUGCCACAGGUCAUGGAUAGCCCAUGUAGGAAUU
Molecule: transfer RNA, 67 nt
Filed under: Tupaia minor
Lineage: Eukaryota; Metazoa; Chordata; Mammalia; Scandentia; Tupaiidae
Description: tRNA-Glu
Source: RNAcentral